Long non-coding RNA from Triticum dicoccoides, 462 nucleotides. RefSeq lists it as uncharacterized. The transcript has 3 exons. The record is from RefSeq and is a predicted model, not a curated record. NCBI's taxonomy places the organism in Eukaryota, Viridiplantae, Streptophyta, Magnoliopsida, Poales, Poaceae.
ACCAACUCCUAGGCCGCCGUCGGCGACACCUCUUCUCCACCAAGUGUUCGAGAGCCCCACAAUUCAUGAACAGUUUCUGCGUACUUAGCAUUCAAGGAGCAGCUUGUUGAUGAGCAGUUUGUUUCAGGAUGAAAUCUUAGCAGUUGUAGUUGUCGAUUCGUCAUCUUGGUAGUUGUGCUCAACAACACAAGUCAUGCCAUGCAUAUUCAGCAGCAAGCAACCGACAUAUCAAUCUAAUGCCACCAGAUGCAGCAAGAACCCGGCGAUUCUAUCUAAUGAAGUUGCAAGCAAACAUCCUGUGCAGAUGCAGCAGCAAGCAGGAAGCUGCUCAUAAAACAAUCAAUCAACCUACUUGUAGCUAGCUAGCUUAUAGGUACAGAGUGCGUAUAUAUCCUUCCAUUUAAUCAAUCUAAUGCUCUAGAACAACAUAUAUAUUAUUUGAAUUGGCAGGGGAAUCAUUCA